Molecule: ribosomal RNA, 326 nt
Filed under: uncultured eukaryote
Lineage: Eukaryota
Description: partial 18S ribosomal RNA
Rfam family: Eukaryotic small subunit ribosomal RNA
Source: RNAcentral
CCCUUAGAUGUUCUGGGCCGCACGCGCGCUACACUGUUUGAUUCAGCGAGUCUUAACCUUGACCGAAAGGUUUGGGUAAUCUUCUAAAGUCAAACGUGAUGGGGAUCGAUCAUUGCAAUUAUUGAUCGUGAACGAGGAAUUCCUAGUAAAUGCAAGUCAUCAGCUUGCGUUGAUUACGUCCCUGCCCUUUGUACACACCGCCCGUCGCUCCUACCGAUUGAGUGGUCCGGUGAGGCUUUGGGAUCUGAGCGGAAAGAGCGUUUCGCUGUUUCUGCUCGGAAAACUCAGUCGAACCUUAUCAUUUAGAGGAAGGAGAAGUCGUAACA